This 921-nucleotide ribosomal RNA is filed under the name Triticum aestivum (bread wheat). RNAcentral describes it as "partial small subunit ribosomal RNA". The record is from RNAcentral. Lineage: Eukaryota; Viridiplantae; Streptophyta; Magnoliopsida; Poales; Poaceae.
AUGGAGGGGGGACUCAGGAAGAAGACGGAGAUCAAGUCCGGGAAGAUGGAGGCCGGCCAGGGGACGGAGAUGGAAGGGGAGCUCAGGAAAGAGCAGGAGAGGAUCAGGAAGCUUCGGGACCAACUCAUCAAGAGUUGUGAAUCCUCCACGGACCCGGCGACGCAAAGGAUAUUCUUGGAUCAGCUGGAUAUACUCUGGAGGGAGGAGUACGCACUCCGCACGAAGAUGAGUAAGUCCGGGAUGGAGAUUCAGAGGGCUCCCGGUUCCGAUACCGAUUCCGAUUCCGAUUCUGGCAAUGAGAUGGGCAGUUCGGGGGUGCACCCAUACCUCAUAAGGAUGGAGUGGAGACUGAGGAAGGAGACGGAGAGGGAUUCCAGCAAGGGGACCGAGAUGGAGUCCGGCAAAGAGCAGGAAAUGGAGGGGAAACUCAGCAAGGAGCACGAGAGACUCAGGAAGGUUCGGUACCAACUCAACAAGAGGUGCGACUCCACCAAGGACCCGGCGACGCAAAGGAUACUCUUGACUCGGCAGGAGAUACUCUGGACCAAGGAGCAAGCACUCCUCACGGUGAUGAGGCAGUCGGGGAUGGAGAUUGAGAGGGAUCCCGAUUCCGAUUCCGGCAAUGAGAUGGGCAGAGAUUCGCCCCUCAUAAGCAUGGAGUGGGGACUCAGCAAGGGGACGGAGAGAGAUGCCAGUGGCAAGGAGAUGGGUCAGAUGGGUCAUGACGACUUGGUUGUUGCUCUUUCUAGCCACCUUGAGGUGCUUAGGAGGGAGAUCUCGUUCCUGAGGACAGAGGUCACGUCCCGGGGCAAUGGGUUGGCUGGAAAUGGAAACAAGGCUGAUCAAGAGCACAUCAUCAUGUCUAACCUAUCCCUCGAUGACACUCUACUCAAGAAGAAGGGGGCGAAGGAGAAGAUCUGA